GAGUAUGCAGUUCAGUGGUAGAGCACAUGCUUAACAUGCACAAGGUCCUGGGUUCGAUCCCCAGCACCUCG
Molecule: transfer RNA, 71 nt
Organism: Camelus ferus (Wild Bactrian camel)
Lineage: Eukaryota; Metazoa; Chordata; Mammalia; Artiodactyla; Camelidae
Rfam family: tRNA
About the family: Transfer RNA (tRNA) molecules are approximately 80 nucleotides in length.
Source: Rfam